AUGAACACCAAUUCUGAUGACGGAGGCCCUUAUUGGUAUGGCUCUGCGGAGCCGGCACCAGCAGAAGGAAGAGAGAAGAAAGAAAGAGUCACAGCCGACGCUCCUUACACAUGGAUCAUGGCGAACUUUGCGCAUUGCCCUCAUGACGCUAAUGAUGAGGUGGUCCAGAGGUAUGCUCGCAUGUACAUGUGGUAUGAUCUAUCUAGGACUCUCUUCGCUAACGGCGAUGGCAAGAUGAUACGUCUCCAACGUAUCUAUAAUUUUUGUUUGUUCCAUGUUGUUAUAUUAUCAUUCUUGGAUGUUUUACAAUCAUUUUAUAGCAACUUUAUAUCAUUUUUUGGGACUAACCUAUUGACAUAG
RNAcentral lists this ribosomal RNA (360 nucleotides) under Triticum aestivum (bread wheat). Its description in RNAcentral is "partial small subunit ribosomal RNA". The record is from RNAcentral. Lineage: Eukaryota; Viridiplantae; Streptophyta; Magnoliopsida; Poales; Poaceae.